GGGGGGGGGGGGGGGGGUGCGGGGGGGGGGGGGGUGGGGGGGGGGGGGGCGGCGUGGGGGGUACGGGAGUGGGGGACGGGUGGGUAAGACGUGGGUGGUCUGCCCUGCACUUCGGGGUGGGCCUGGGGGACUGGGUCUAAUACCGGCUAGGGGCCAUUUGUAGUGUGAUGGUUGGAAAGUUUUUUCGGUGUAGGAUGAGCUCGCGGCCUAUCAGCUUGUUGGUGGGGUAAUGGCCUACCAAGGCGGCGACGGGUAGCCGGCCUGAGAGGGUGGACGGCCACAUUGGGACUGAGAUACGGCCCAGACACCUACGGGAGGCAGCAGUGGGGAAGAUUGCACAAUGGGCGCAAGCCUGAUGCAGCGACGCCGCGGGGGGGAUGACGGCCUUCGGGUUGUAAACGCCGUUCGCUAGGGACGAAGCUUUUUGUGACGGUACCUAGAUAAGAAGCACCGGCUAACUACGUG
This 465-nucleotide ribosomal RNA is filed under the name uncultured bacterium. RNAcentral describes it as "partial 16S ribosomal RNA". The stretch from base 49 to 465 matches the Rfam family "Bacterial small subunit ribosomal RNA", at positions 39 to 507 of the family's 1533-position model. The record is from RNAcentral.